CAAACGGCUCUUUUCAGAGCCACCAAAUUAAUUAACAGGACAUCU
This is a regulatory RNA element of 45 nucleotides. It matches the Rfam family "Histone 3' UTR stem-loop". Rfam says of the family: The mRNAs of metazoan histone genes lack a poly-A tail. 3' end processing occurs at a site between a highly conserved stem-loop (modelled by this family) and a purine rich region around 20 nts downstream (the histone downstream element, or HDE). The record is from Rfam.